AACGAACGCUGGCGGCAGGCCUAACACAUGCAAGUCGAGCGCCCUUUCGGGGGAGCGGCGGACGGGUGAGUAACGCGUAGGAAUAUGCCCUUCUCUACGGAAUAGCCUCGGGAAACUGAGAGUAAUACCGUAUACGCCCUGUGGGGGAAAGAUUUAUCGGGGUAGGAUUAGCCCGCGUUGGAUUAGGUAGUUGGUGGGGUAAUGGCCUACCAAGCCGACGAUCCAUAGCUGGUGUGAGAGGAUGAUCAGCCACACUGGGACUGAGACACGGCCCAGACUCCUACGGGAGGGAGCAGUGGGGAAUCUUAGACCAUGGGGGCAACCCUGAUCGAGCCAUGCCGCGGGAGUGAUGAAGGCCUUAGGGUUGUAAAGCUCUUUCAGCUGGGAAGAUAAUGACGGUACCAGCAGAAGAAGCCCCGGCUAACUCCGUG
RNAcentral lists this ribosomal RNA (431 nucleotides) under uncultured bacterium. RNAcentral describes it as "partial 16S ribosomal RNA". It matches the Rfam family "Bacterial small subunit ribosomal RNA", at positions 29 to 507 of the family's 1533-position model. The record is from RNAcentral.